Molecule: ribosomal RNA, 873 nt
Filed under: uncultured Bacteroidota bacterium
Lineage: Bacteria; Pseudomonadati; Bacteroidota
Description: bacterial SSU rRNA
Rfam family: Bacterial small subunit ribosomal RNA
Source: RNAcentral
UGCAAUCCGGCAGCUUACCGUGCAGUCGAGGGGUAUUGGUUUUCGGACCAAGAGACCGGCGCACGGGUGCGUAACGCGUAUGCAAUCUACCUUUUACAGAGGGAUAGCCCAGAGAAAUUUGGAUUAAUACCUCAUAGUAUAUAUGAAUGGCAUCAUUUAUAUAUUAAAGUUACAACGGUAAAAGAUGAGCAUGCGUCCCAUUAGCUAGUUGGUAAGGUAACGGCUUACCAAGGCGACGAUGGGUAGGGGUCCUGAGAGGGAGAUCCCCCACACUGGUACUGAGACACGGACCAGACUCCUACGGGAGGCAGCAGUGAGGAAUAUUGGACAAUGGGCGCAAGCCUGAUCCAGCCAUGCCGCGUGCAGGAUGACGGUCCUAUGGAUUGUAAACUGCUUUUGUACAGGAAGAAACACUCGGACGUGUCCGAGCUUGACGGUACUGUAAGAAUAAGGAUCGGCUAACUCCGUGCCAGCAGCCGCGGUAAUACGGAGGAUCCAAGCGUUAUCCGGAAUCAUUGGGUUUAAAGGGUCCGUAGGCGGUUUAGUAAGUCAGUGGUGAAAGCCCAUCGCUCAACGGUGGAACGGCCAUUGAUACUGCUAGACUUGAAUUAUUAGGAAGUAACUAGAAUAUGUAGUGUAGCGGUGAAAUGCUUAGAGAUUACAUGGAAUACCAAUUGCGAAGGCAGGUUACUACUAAUGGAUUGACGCUGAUGGACGAAAGCGUGGGGAGCGAACAGGAUUAGAUACCCUGGUAGUCCACGCCGUAAACGAUGGAUACUAGCUGUUGGGCGCAAGUUCAGUGGCUAAGCGAAAGUGAUAAGUAUCCCACCUGGGGAGUACGUUCGCAAGAAUGAAACUCAAAGGAAUUGACGG